GCAAGCCCCGAGGUUCUUUUCCAAACAGGAUGGAGCAUUUCCAAGCUAUUUAAAUCUAGUGGAAAACCUCUCUGCCCUGAUUCUCCUGCUCAAAUGCCUCUCUGAGGGUAUGCAGGCAGCAAACCACAACCGGAGGGGAGCACUGGGGUUUCCACUGGAUUCCCAUUACGGACAGAAAAUUGGCAACUGCUCAGAUUAAACACCAGAGUGAAUUUGCUUGGCUCCAAGGAAGACAUUUCUGUGUCGAAAGAUUGCAAUGACGUUGAAGAUUUGACCUUCACAGCUUCUUCUUUGCUUCAUAGAAUAAUGCCAAUGCUUUUGUCAAAAAGGUCAAAAAGUAGUAUUUGAAACCAUAAGGAUUUUGCUUGCUGCUUACAGAGAUUAUUUUAGUGGUAAAUCUUACAGAAACUUUAGUCCAAAGCCAUUUUUUAGGUUUAAAUCUUUGGCAAUACAAGAGCUCAAUCCUAAAAUUUAGAUGGUUGUGGGUAACGCUGUUGGAAAUGCAGAUGUGUGGGUCCCAAUUUGCGUGUGUUUUGGGAUGUCUUGAUUUCAGGGUAGCCAGGCUGUAACAUCUUUUGAACUCCCAACUUCCUGGGAUGGUGUAGUCAGGACAUUCGAAGAGCAGUCCCAAGACAUAAUGAAAGGGCGAGUACAAGUGGUGAGAGCCCCAAAUGAAUGGCCUUAACUUGGAAGUUGAACAGAGGCUGAGCUCUAACCAGUGAUGAUUUCCUGCAAAGGACUCCAGCUACACACACAUCAGCAGCAGAGAUGGCACACAGGAGCCCACUGAAGCAGCUGGGCUUUGUAUUUUCUGAUUGCUAUUGAAUAUGCAAUGGGUAUUUCUCGUUACUUUUUAAUCUUUCCUUAAACAAAGUCAUAGUUCUUCCACAGUCACCUCGGAGACAGGGAGAGAAAUAUUUUCCUAACAAUUACUGCAGUCAGCUUAGCUGGGCAUUUGAAAGUACCAGACAUUUUAAAACAUACAAUAACAGUAAUCUUUAAAAAUACUUUAUUUUAAAAAUAUUAUUUGGGAAAAAAAGUCCUUGCUCCCUUUAUUCAGCAGGAAAUGCCACACAAUUAUCUUUAUUUUCUUACUGUUUGUGGGAUGAAUUGAAAAUCAGUAUUUUAGAUAAAUUUACCUAGCAGCAAUUAACAUUUAAUUUCCUUUAAAAAUAUAGAAACAAGAUUAAAAUGCCCAUUGGGGGUGAUUUAUCCUUGAUUAAAGUUUAGAAGUGACUGAGAAAAGUUGAUGUUCAGUGCAUUAAUCAAGAAAUAAGAGAAUGAAAACUUAUGUUUGAUAUUCCAGAAGCAAACUUGGAAGUGGCUCGGAAACUGGCUAAGUUUAUUUUUAUUAUCAAGGAAAUAAGUGUCUUGCAGGCACACACAGGUGACCACAGCCCACUGAAGAAGAAGAGCAGGUUUUCAUUGAACCCAGUGAUUUGGAAGGCUAAGAAAGAUGGGCUAAUAUUUGCACAGUCAGUAUUUUCUAUUUCCUUAGAUGUUAAAGGAAAGAAGGAAUUCAAAUGUGAUAACUUGUGACAACUUACAAUGAUCUGUAUUAAUUUAUUAUUUAUUACUAUGAUUAUCUCACUGGAGAGUGAGUGGAUUUAUGAUUUAGACCUGCCCAUCUCUGCAGAAAACCAGGGGUGUGCAACUGCUCUGCUUCCCCUUCGUAAGGACCUUGUCCAGCUCCAUGCAUGAAGGGCUGGGACCUCAGUGUACACAGCAAUUAUGGAGUGGACACGUAAAAAUGGAGACAGAAUCAUGACAUUUUUAUGGCAUUUUGACUCUUUGCAGAAUGUCUGAAUAAUUUGGAAUCUGGUCCAUAAAAAAUAAUAUUCCAGAUUGUUCAAAAUGCAUAUGCAGAUGAAUAAUCAGUUUAUAUGUCCAAUUAUUUGACUUGUGAGUAGAUUGGGCAAAACUUGGCAUAUUUUUUCCACCAUAUGGUUGUACUAACUUUCUUGAAAGAAAAAAUGACCUGAAAUUCGCAUAAAUAACUGUCCCACAGUUUUUCCUG
Long non-coding RNA from Corvus hawaiiensis (hawaiian crow), 2017 nucleotides. RefSeq lists it as uncharacterized. Lineage: Eukaryota; Metazoa; Chordata; Aves; Passeriformes; Corvidae. The record is from RefSeq and is a predicted model, not a curated record. The transcript is spliced from 3 exons.